GAUACAUAGCGACCUGAGAGGGUGAUCGGCCACACUGGGACUGAGACACGGCCCAGACUCCUACGGGAGGCAGCAGUAGGGAAUCUUCGGCAAUGGGGGCAACCCUGACCGAGCAACGCCGCGUGAGUGAAGAAGGUUUUCGGAUCGUAAAGCUCUGUUGUUAGAGAAGAAUGAUGGUGGGAGUGGAAAAUCCACCAAGUGACGGUAACUACCAGAAAGGGACGGCUAACUACGUGCCAGCAGCCGCGGUAAUACGUAGGUCCCGAGCGUUGUCCGGAUUUAUUGGGCGUAAAGCGAGCGCAGGCGGUUUUUUAAGUCUGAAGUUAAAGGCAUUGGCUCAACCAAUGUACGCUUUGAAACUGGAGAACUUGAGUGCAGAAGGGGAGAGUGGAAUUCCAUGUGUAGCGGUGAAAUGCGUAGAUAUAUGGAGGAACACCGGUGGCGAAAGCGGCUCUCUGGUCUGUAACUGACGCUGAGGCUCGAAAGCGUGGGGAGCAAACAGGAUUAGAUACCUGGUAGUCCACGCCGUAAACGAUGAGUGCUAGGUGUUAGGCCCUUUCCGGGGCUUAGUGCCGGAGCUAACGCAUUAAGCACUCCGCCUGGGGAGUACGACCGCAAGGUUGAAACUCAAAGGAAUUGACGGGGCCCGCACAAGCGGUGGAGCAUGUGGUUUAAUUCGAAGCAACGCGAAGAACCUUACCAGGUCUUGACAUCCCGAUGCCCGCUCUAGAGAUAGAGUUUUACUUCGGUACAUCGGUGACAGGUGGUGCAUGGUUGUCGUCAGCUCGUGUCGUGAGAUGUUGGGUUAAGUCCCGCAACGAGCGCACCCCUAUUGUUAGUUGCCAUCAUUAGUUGGGCACUCUAGCGAGACUGCCGGUAAUAAACCGGAGGAAGGUGGGGAUGACGUCAAAUCAUCAUGCCCCUUAUGACCUGGGCUACACACGUGCUACAUGGUUGGUACAACGAGUCGCAAGCCGGU
This 979-nucleotide ribosomal RNA is filed under the name Streptococcus pyogenes. RNAcentral's name for it is "bacterial SSU rRNA". It matches the Rfam family "Bacterial small subunit ribosomal RNA", at positions 278 to 1258 of the family's 1533-position model. Lineage: Bacteria; Bacillati; Bacillota; Bacilli; Lactobacillales; Streptococcaceae. The record is from RNAcentral.